RNAcentral lists this transfer RNA (75 nucleotides) under Bacteroidaceae bacterium. RNAcentral describes it as "tRNA-Val". It matches the Rfam family "tRNA". Rfam says of the family: Transfer RNA (tRNA) molecules are approximately 80 nucleotides in length. Their secondary structure includes four short double-helical elements and three loops (D, anti-codon, and T loops). Lineage: Bacteria; Pseudomonadati; Bacteroidota; Bacteroidia; Bacteroidales; Bacteroidaceae. The record is from RNAcentral.
AGGAGGUUAGCUCAGCUGGUUUAGAGCGAUAGUCUUACAAACUAUAGGUCAUCGGUUCGAUCCCGUUACCUCCUA